This 213-nucleotide unclassified non-coding RNA is filed under the name rhizosphere metagenome. RNAcentral describes it as "partial ribosomal RNA internal transcribed spacer region". The record is from RNAcentral.
GUAGGUGAACCUGCGGAAGGAUCAUUACAGAGUUCAUGCCCUUCGGGGUAGACCUCCCACCCUUGAAUAUAUACCUUUGUUGCUUUGGCGGGCCGCUUCGGCUACUGGCUUCGGCUGGUGAGUGCCCGCCAGAGGACCCUAAAUUCUGAAUUAUAGUGUCGUCUGAGUACUAUAUAAUAGUUAAAACUUUCAACAACGGAUCUCUUGGUUCUG